This 31-nucleotide non-coding RNA is filed under the name Rattus norvegicus (Norway rat). Lineage: Eukaryota; Metazoa; Chordata; Mammalia; Rodentia; Muridae. The record is from RNAcentral.
UNCAGAGCAGUACAGCUCUUCAAAGGAACAA